UUAUAACUAUUCCAAACCUCUGUGAACCGUGCCCUUCGGGGCUAUUUUACAAACAUGGUGUAAUGAACGUCAUAUAUCAUAACAAAACAAAACUUUCAACAACGGAUCUCUUGGCUCUCGCAUCGAUGAAGAACGCAGCGAAAUGCGAUAAGUAAUGUGAAUUGCAGAAUUCAGUGAAUCAUCGAAUCUUUGAACGCACCUUGCGCCCUCUGGUAUUCCGGAGGGCAUGCCUGUUUGAGUGUCAUGUAGACUCAAUCCCUCGGGUUUCCGAGGAGAUUGGACUUGGGUGUUGCCGCUCUGCCGGCUCGCCUUAAAAGACUUAGCGGGAUAGCACCGUAGUCGGCGUAAUAAGUUUCGUCGGUGAAGGUUGUGAUGACUGCUUACAAUCGCCCUCGGGCAAUUUUUGACUCUGACCUCAAAUCAGGUAGGACUACCCGCUGAACUUAAGCAUAUCAAUAAGCGGAGGA
Molecule: ribosomal RNA, 467 nt
Filed under: Cryptococcus sp. GA9M01
Lineage: Eukaryota; Fungi; Basidiomycota; Tremellomycetes; Tremellales; Cryptococcaceae
Description: eukaryotic LSU rRNA
Rfam family: 5.8S ribosomal RNA (bases 91-244)
Source: RNAcentral